Sipha flava (yellow sugarcane aphid) is the source of this 845-nucleotide long non-coding RNA. RefSeq lists it as uncharacterized. The record is from RefSeq and is a predicted model, not a curated record. Lineage: Eukaryota; Metazoa; Arthropoda; Insecta; Hemiptera; Aphididae. The transcript is spliced from 5 exons.
GUUGUCGUCGCCAUUUUGUACUACGGUCCACGACCGAUCCGCUUGGUAACCGAUAGUCGCUGUGCAGUCGCUGCUCAACAAUACUCAUCAGUGUUGGAUGUGAAUUAAACAGCCGAAAUCUAGGAGCCGAUCAAGAGUGAAAAGAACUUACGAGAGAUAAACACAUAAGUACUUACUUACUCCUACAAAUACAGUGAAUUAUAAUAAGUAGUGAUUAACUGAACGGAAAUCAACUGGACCGAACGGAGACUGCAAGCUGCGACGGGACUUCACGUUCAAGCUGUUAAGUAUUCCGGAGUGCUGCGACUAUGGCGAGAUUCUUCCUCGUUACGGGUUGGCUGGACCCGGUUUCUUCCGGUGCUCCGUUGACGAUGAAUAUACAAACACGUUUACAAACGAUCAGGGGUUUGGUCCUCGCUGACAGUUUUGGCGCGCUGGUUCUCGCCACUAGAUCGAGUUCGCAGGUUGUGGAUAGCGGUAUUUAAACACUCCCUUGUCGUGGGGGUGACAAAUGGAAUAAUUUCAGAAUACAACUGCCCGAACAGCGAACUUGCACGCAUGAACGGUUCGGGAUGGUGGUCUCCACCGAUGCGGGCCGUUCGCGUAAAAUGUGAUACGUGCUUUGAGCUGCGGAGUCGGGUUACGAUCAAAAUUUACCCCUAAACCUGAUUGGGAGUCUCACGGAGCGGUUGCUGGUCGUCUGAGGGCUCUCCCGGGAGUCGGUCGACACGUCUCAGUUCAUAGAUUUUUUUGUGUUUUAACAAUCAUAUGGAUUCAUUCGGGAGCCAGAUCUUGGUUUUUCUGUGUUUCAACCUUCAUAAGGAUUCAUUCGGGAGCCAGGUAAA